CCAAGAUCAAAAUGUUGAAAAUUAAACAUUUAUUUGUGAGGAUCAUGACCAAAAGGCAGACAAUGCCAAGAUACCAAAUUUGUAAGCAUGAAACAAAAACAUGGAAUUGCAGUUGAGUUGAUAACCCAUCUUACAUUUCUCUGAAAUGCACUUAAAUUCCUUCAGACUAUACAAAAUGGAAGAGAGAUGAUUUGACAAACUGAAUCCUCAUCUCUCUUCCAUUUUGUAAACACUUCACAUUUUCAACAAACAGUUCAGUGACGUUCAGACUGGAGCACAAAUUGUAAACAAAAUCCAUCAAAUACACUUCCCCACAACAGACAAUGUAUAAAUUUUGAUGGAAUUAUAAUUUUUUGGCAGUCACUAUUAAGCAAUCACAAAUAAAAUAAGUGUGAUAUUUUAAUAGAAAAAAGAAAAAAAAAAUUUAAGCAACAAAUCACACACAGAACCUACAUUAGAAAUCAAAUAUCUACACAAGUUAAAUAGGCACAAGACUUUAGUUGUGUCAUUUAGUUAAUAAGAAAGGAGACUUUGGUUUUGUAAUGACCCAAGGAUGAGUUCAAAACAGAAAGCUCAGCAGUUCAUUUGGUUUUGCAAAACCAGUGGAUGCACUGACCAUUUGUAAAACCUGACUUCCACUGCAGUCACAUCUCUACCUUCAAGUUCAAAGUCAUGAGAUAUGAUAUGAUAAUGGCAAGCAAAUAAAGAAGCUUUUAUUACAGUAAAUCAGCUUUAACGCUUUUGUUGGACAGACACCCAAAGAAUCCCCUUUGUUGGUUUUCUAACUUUUCUUUUUCUUUUUUCCCUUUUUUUUUAUAUCAGGAACAACAAAUUCGUAUAAAUGAAUUAGUAAGUACAAUAAAUGACAAGAUAUCCUUCCAAAAAAAUAUAAAUAAAAAGAAGAAAAAAACCUGAUAAAAAUGUAAAAACAAAUCUUAAACACUCCAAGAGACAAUUGAAAUAAGCUGCACAGAAAAAUAUUCUCUUGAACAAAAAGACAACUGAUUUACAUGUUCAUCAUGAAUCAUAAAAUAGAACCAAAUAAAUCAAAACAUAUUCAGUUUGAUCGAUAUAGAGGAAGAAGAAAGGUGUCCCUCCUAUGACAUAGGAUAUGAUCACAAGUCCAGCCAAGGCUCAUGUAGACAUUUAGGGUCUAUUUCGGAACAAUUUUUAAGAACAGUUUUCUAUUUCCCAGAACAAAAAACACAGAAAGCACAUUUGACAACCAAAAACUAUUUUUUGUUUUCUGUUCUUAAGAAUAGAGAACAAGA
Molecule: long non-coding RNA, 1271 nt
Filed under: Vitis vinifera (wine grape)
Lineage: Eukaryota; Viridiplantae; Streptophyta; Magnoliopsida; Vitales; Vitaceae
Description: long non-coding RNA (VVIN_LNC000984)
Source: RNAcentral